AGUGAACGCUGGCGGUAGGCCUAACACAUGCAAGUCGAACGGCAGCACAGUAAGAGCUUGCUCUUACGGGUGGCGAGUGGCGGACGGGUGAGGAGUACAUCGGAAUCUACUUUUUCGUGGGGGAUAACGUAGGGAAACUUACGCUAAUACCGCAUACGACCUACGGGUGAAAGCAGGGGAUCUUCGGACCUUUCGCGAUUGAAUGAGCCGGUGUCGGAUUAGCUAGUUGGCGAGGUAAAGGCCCACCAAGGCAACGAUCCGUAGCUGGUCUGAGAGGAUGAUCGGCCACACUGGAACUGAGACACGGUCCAGACUCCUACGGGAGGCAGCAGUGGGGAAUAUUGGGCAAUGGGCGCAAGCCUGAUCCAGCCAUGCCGCGUGGGUGAAGAAGGCCUUCGGGUUGUAAAGCCCUGUUAUUGGGAAAGAAAAGCAGCGGGUGAAUACCCCGCUGUUCUGACGGUACCCAAAGAAUAAGCACCGGCUAACUUCGUG
RNAcentral lists this ribosomal RNA (492 nucleotides) under uncultured bacterium. RNAcentral describes it as "partial 16S ribosomal RNA". It matches the Rfam family "Bacterial small subunit ribosomal RNA", at positions 29 to 507 of the family's 1533-position model. The record is from RNAcentral.